UUUGGAUGUCUGUGUCAUGCGAGGAUGAGAUUUCUUCAACUUGAAUCACCUGGAGCGUCCUCAAUCUUCUUAGUUCACAUUCAAAAGCUCACAGCAAAGCUGGAACUUCUGACCAGGUCAAAUAAGAAAUCCUUGUCGGGAGUGAUAUGAAAUGAACAUCCAGAGUCCAUCACCCAUUCAUCCUUGGUGUAUUGAGUACUCACGGGCAUUCACGCUUCCAGUGACCAUCCUUGCCGCAUAUGAAGCAACCCUUGGAGUUUCUGUUGUUCCUGGGGCGAGAUUUAGAUCGUCCUUGUCUACUCUUGGACCUGCCCUUGUAACCUUUUCCAUUGCCUCUGCCAGUUCUGUUGUCUGAUCGGCCUCUCUCAACCAUCAGACCUUCUCCACCUGAUCUGGAUCAAUUACAGGUGCAGGCUUAACGAUUCCAGCAAGCCCCUUUCCAGUGUCUUUCAUGGCAGACUCUGGUUCAUCCUUAGCAUCAGGAUCUUCUUUUAAAAGCUUCUCGUCAGUAAGUAUAGCUUUUAAACCGAGCACUCCAAAAUGAGCCAUCAUUCGUACUUUCCAUAAUGCGAAGUCACCAUCGCCUUCGAACCGAUCGAUCUCGAUGCGUUCUUUUGACUUCACCA
Long non-coding RNA from Raphanus sativus (radish), 626 nucleotides. RefSeq lists it as uncharacterized. The transcript is spliced from 4 exons. Lineage: Eukaryota; Viridiplantae; Streptophyta; Magnoliopsida; Brassicales; Brassicaceae. The record is from RefSeq and is a predicted model, not a curated record.